This 71-nucleotide ribosomal RNA is filed under the name uncultured bacterium. RNAcentral describes it as "partial 16S ribosomal RNA". The record is from RNAcentral.
UGGACUUGCCAUGUAAGUCUAAGUCCCGUGAAAGCGGGACCCUAUGCGAGCUUGUUCAAAGACACUUUCAC